GGAUUGCCCUAGUAACGGCGAGUGAAGCGGCAACAGCUCAAAUUUGAAAGCUAGCCUUCGGGUUCGCAUUGUAAUUUGUAGAGGAUGAUUUGGGGAAGCCGCCUGUCUAAGUUCCUUGGAACAGGACGUCAUAGAGGGUGAGAAUCCCGUAUGUGACAGGAAAUGGCACCCUAUGUAAAUCUCCUUCGACGAGUCGAGUUGUUUGGGAAUGCAGCUCUAAAUGGGAGGUAAAUUUCUUCUAAAGCUAAAUAUUGGCGAGAGACCGAUAGCGCACAAGUAGAGUGAUCGAAAGAUGAAAAGCACUUUGGAAAGAGAGUUAAAAAGCACGUGAAAUUGUUGAAAGGGAAGCGCUUGCAAUCAGACUUGUUUAAACUGUUCGGCCGGUCUUCUGACCGGUUUACUCAGUUUGGACAGGCCAGCAUCAGUUUCGGCGGCCGGAUAAAGGCUCUGGGAAUGUGGCCUCCACUUCGGUGGAGGUGUUAUAGCCCAGGGUGUAAUACGGCCAGCCGGGACUGAGGUCCGCGCUUCGGCUAGGAUGCUGGCGUAAUGGUUGUAAGCGACCCGUCUUGAAACACGGACCAAGGAGUCUAACAUCUAUGCGAGUGUUCGGGUGUCAAACCCCUGCGCGUAAUGAAAGUGAACGGAGGUGGGAACCCGCAAGGGUGCACCAUCGACCGAUCCUGAUGUCUUCGGAUGGAUUUGAGUAA
This 707-nucleotide ribosomal RNA is filed under the name Aureobasidium pullulans. RNAcentral's name for it is "eukaryotic LSU rRNA". It matches the Rfam family "Eukaryotic large subunit ribosomal RNA", at positions 72 to 797 of the family's 3401-position model. The record is from RNAcentral. Lineage: Eukaryota; Fungi; Ascomycota; Dothideomycetes; Dothideales; Saccotheciaceae.